UAUCCCCCAAACCAAGGGGGGAUGAGAACCACCGACCGGGGUUCGACAACUUGGCGCAGCCUAGUUGGACAGACGACGAGGCUUGCCGAGGAGACUGCCCGAAGGGCGAGCGCAGCGAGGUCAAUCCCCCCCUCACAGCCA
This 141-nucleotide small RNA is filed under the name Salmonella enterica subsp. enterica serovar Moscow str. SA20061414. RNAcentral describes it as "RtT RNA". It matches the Rfam family "RtT RNA". From Rfam's summary of the family: This family represents a bacterial cis-regulatory element known as RtT RNA. The exact function of RtT is unknown although it is thought that it may be involved in changing the cellular response in relation to amino acid starvation. Lineage: Bacteria; Pseudomonadati; Pseudomonadota; Gammaproteobacteria; Enterobacterales; Enterobacteriaceae. The record is from RNAcentral.